This 872-nucleotide ribosomal RNA is filed under the name uncultured fungus. RNAcentral describes it as "SSU rRNA". It matches the Rfam family "Eukaryotic small subunit ribosomal RNA", at positions 1 to 906 of the family's 1831-position model. Lineage: Eukaryota; Fungi. The record is from RNAcentral.
CCUGGUUGAUUCUGCCAUUAGUCAUAUGCUUGUCUCAAAGAUUAAGCCAUGCAUGUCUAAGUAUAAACACGUUAUACUGUGAAACUGCGAAUGGCUCAUUAAAUCAGUUAUAGUUUAUUUGAUGGUUUUUGCUACAUGGAUAACUGUGGUAAUUCUAGAGCUAAUACAUGCGUACAAGCCCCGACUUCUGGAAGGGGUGUAUUUAUUAGAUAAAAAUCAACACUGUUGGUGAAUCAUGAUAACUUCUCGGAUCGCAUGGCCUCGUGCUGGCGAUACUUCAUUCAAAUAUCUGCCCUAUCAACUGUCGAUGGUAGGAUAGAGGCCUACCAUGGUUGCAACGGGUAACGGGGAAUAAGGGUUCGAUUCCGGAGAGGGAGCCUGAGAAACGGCUACCACAUCCAAGGAAGGCAGCAGGCGCGCAAAUUACCCAAUCCCGACACGGGGAGGUAGUGACAAUAUGUAACAAUAUACGGCUUUAUCGUCGUAUAAUUGGAAUGAGUACAAUUUAAAUCCCUUAACGAGGAACAAUUGGAGGGCAAGUCUGGUGCCAGCAGCCGCGGUAAUUCCAGCUCCAAUAGCGUAUAUUAAAGUUGUUGCAGUUAAAAAGCUCGUAGUUGGACCUUGGGCCUGGACGGGCGGUCCGCCUCACGGCGUGUACUGUCUUGCCGGGCCUUUCCUCUUGGUGAUCUGUUGUUUCGGCAGCAGGGAACCAGGACCUUUACUUUGAAAAAAUUAGAGUGUUCAAAGCAGGCUCGACGCCGGAAUAUAUUAGCAUGGAAUAAUAAAAUAGGACGUGCGGUUCUAUUUUGUUGGUUUUUGGAAUCGCCGUAAUGAUUAAUAGGGACAGUCGGGGGCAUUAGUACUCACAUGCU